UCGUGUCGAACGGAUGAAGUGUUGGCGUUCUCCGUUGUUUGAAAUUAAAACAGUUCGAUUGGCGGAUCAAAUGUUUGGCAAUUGUUGCCGUAUUCGGUUUUGUUUCCACGACAGGAGGCCCGAAUUCAAAGCCCUCCCCAAUGGAAUCGAACCGAAAAUUUUCUACGGGAAUGAUUGUGUACUGCCUCGGUCAUCGCCACAGAAAAUUCGUGUGCCAAGUUGGAGCCCGACCGUCGCUUGCUGAUAUGAUCGACGAUUUUAAGUGGAAAGAAUGCCCAACCCCAGGCCGCGACGGAUCAUUCUUGGGCGCUGAUUUUCGUGACGUCGGUGCUAGGAAGUUGGCGAAAACGUCAGCCGCGUACGGCAGGAGGUUAGGGAACCCCGCGAGCAGCAAGAACGCCGGAACUAAGGACCAUGGGUGCGUUUGUGAAAUGCCCUUCGGAAUUUCCAGACAUAAAAAAAUAGUGUAUUGUAUAGAGUGUUUUAAUUGAGAUGGUGUAUUAGUGAAUAUGAACAGCGAUUGUGAAAAUAAAAUUUUAAAAGAA
Molecule: long non-coding RNA, 545 nt
Organism: Culex quinquefasciatus (southern house mosquito)
Lineage: Eukaryota; Metazoa; Arthropoda; Insecta; Diptera; Culicidae
Exons: 2
Source: RefSeq, a predicted model, not a curated record